This is a long non-coding RNA of Mus musculus (house mouse), 949 nucleotides long. RefSeq annotates it as predicted gene, 52680. The transcript has 3 exons. Lineage: Eukaryota; Metazoa; Chordata; Mammalia; Rodentia; Muridae. The record is from RefSeq and is a predicted model, not a curated record.
UAUCUCACUAAGCAAACAAGCAUAUCCUAGUGCUGUCUAGAGCCCUGGAAACCCUAAGGCAGCCCUCUGUCCACAAACUGGAGCCACUGUGUCCCAUAGGGCCCUCAUGCUCUACUUAUGUCUCCACUCUUGACCACCACAGUUCGGUGGGCUUCCGCUGUGGGCUCCUCCAGUCCACUGUGGGACUAGGCCAGAGUGAACUGUGUGGGGUCUGGUGUGUUUAAAUAUUUCCCUUACAGCUAGCUCCGUCUGUGAUGCUCACCUGUGACAUCCUUCUGUGACACCUACCUGUGAUGCCCACCCGUGACUCCCACCUGUGAUGCCCAUCUGUGUCUCCCACCUGUGAUGCCCACCUGUGACACCCUCCUGUGACACCCACUUGUAAUACCCACCUGUGACACCCAUCUGUGACACCCAUCUGUGACGCCCACCUGUGACGCCCACCUGUGACACCCACCUGUGACACCCACCUGUGAUGCCCACCUGUGACACCCAUCUGUGUUGCCCACCUGUGAUGCCCACCUGUGACACCCUGCCUGCCAACCUAUGCUCUGGGAAGCAGGAAAGCCCUUGACGUUCCAUCCAAUACCAGGUGCAUGGAGUCAGCUUACUACCUGUCACAAAAUUGCUACAAACACCAGCCCAGGUCCCUCUAGGCUUGUGUCAAGCCUCCUCCAGCCUCAAGUGCUCCCUGGAGAUGUCGAAGCUUGGCCAGUCCACCUCACAGGAUCCCUCAAGAUGAUGCCACACAAGGACCCGGAGGCUUCAGAAAAUAACAUAACAUUGCAGGGGUCUGAGAGUCAGCUCCAGGCAGGCUGUUGUGGUAAAUAUGGAGAGACCCAGCAGGAGCCCUGGGAUUCUGGGCCGCAUCCCAAGGAAGCUCACCUGAGAUGUUGGUGGUUAUCUCAGUGAGAGCCGCCUGGCCGAAGCCCUUGCUCGUCCGAGCACG